RNAcentral lists this ribosomal RNA (443 nucleotides) under uncultured bacterium. RNAcentral's name for it is "partial 16S ribosomal RNA". It matches the Rfam family "Bacterial small subunit ribosomal RNA", at positions 338 to 795 of the family's 1533-position model. The record is from RNAcentral.
CCUACGGGCGGCAGCAGUGGGGGAUAUUGGACAAUGGGGGGAACCCUGAUCCAGCGACGCCGCGUGAGUGAAGAAGUAUUUCGGUAUGUAAAGCUCUGUCAGCAGGGAAGAAAGCAAUGACGGUACCUGACCAAGAAGCCCCGGCUAACUCCGUGCCAGCAGCCGCGUUAAUACGUAGGGGGCAAGCGUUAUCCGGAAUUACUGGGUGUAAAGGGAGAGUAGACGGCUGUGCAAGUCUGGAGUGAAAGGCGGGGGCCCAACCCCCGGACUGCUCUGGAAACUGUAUGGCUGGAGUGCAGGAGAGGUAAGCGGAAUUCCUAGUGUAGCGGUGAAAUGCGUAGAGAUUAGGAGGAACACCAGUGGCGAAGGCGGCUUACUGGACUGUAACUGACGUUGAGGCUCGAAAGCGUGGGGAGCAAACAGGAUUAGAUACCCUUGUAGUC